RNAcentral lists this non-coding RNA (581 nucleotides) under Boholia sp. Bicknell 1561A. RNAcentral describes it as "transfer RNA-Leu". The stretch from base 26 to 505 matches the Rfam family "Group I catalytic intron". From Rfam's summary of the family: Group I catalytic introns are large self-splicing ribozymes. Lineage: Eukaryota; Viridiplantae; Streptophyta; Magnoliopsida; Gentianales; Rubiaceae. The record is from RNAcentral.
GGGGAUAUGGCGAAAUCGGUAGACGCUACGGACUUAAUUGAAUUGAGCCUUGGUAUGGAAAUACACUAAGUGAUAACUUUCAAAUUCAGAGAAACCUGGAAUUAAUAAAAAGGGGCAAUCCUGAGCCAAAUCCCGUUUUCCGAAACCAAAGGUUCAAAAAGGGAAAAAGGAUAGGUGCAGAGACUCAACGGAAGCUGUUCUAACAAAUGGAGUUGGUUGUGUUAGUAGAGAAAUCUUUCCAUCGAAAAUUCCGAAAGGAAAAGGUGAAGGAUAAACGUAUAUAUGUAUUGAAUGCUAUAUCAAAAGAUUAAUGACGACUCGGCUGAAUCUGUAUUUUUUAUUUUUAUAUGAAAACAGAAGAAUUGGUAUGAAUAGAUUCCACAUUGAAGAAAGAAUCGAAUAGUCAUUAAUCAAAUGAUUCACUCCAUAGUCUGAUAGAUCUUUUCAAGAAUUGAUUAAUCGGACGAGAAUAAAGAUAGAGUCCCGUUCUACAUGUCAAUGUCGGCAAGAAUGAAAUUUAUAGUAAGAGGAAAAUCCGUCGACUUUUAAAAUCGUGAGGGUUCAAGUCCCUCUAUCCCCAA